CAAGAGCAUACAUACCGGGAAAGGACUGACUUGUAGAUUGUUUCUAUCAAGAGCAUACUCACCAGGGAAGGACUGACUUACAGAUUGUUUCUAUCAAGAGAAUACUCACCAGGGAAGGACUGACUUACAAAUUGUUUCUAUCAAGAGCAUACUCACCAGGGAAGGACUGACUUACAGAUUGUUUCUAUCAAGAGCAUACUCACCAGGGAAGGAC
This 214-nucleotide long non-coding RNA is filed under the name Mytilus galloprovincialis (Mediterranean mussel). The record is from RNAcentral. Lineage: Eukaryota; Metazoa; Mollusca; Bivalvia; Mytilida; Mytilidae.